RNAcentral lists this ribosomal RNA (243 nucleotides) under uncultured Actinomycetales bacterium. RNAcentral describes it as "partial 16S ribosomal RNA". It matches the Rfam family "Bacterial small subunit ribosomal RNA", at positions 88 to 334 of the family's 1533-position model. Lineage: Bacteria; Bacillati; Actinomycetota; Actinomycetes; Actinomycetales. The record is from RNAcentral.
UACUCGAGUGGCGAACGGGUGAGUAACACGUGGGUGAUCUGCCCUGCACUCUGGGAUAGGCCUGGGAAACUGGGUCUAAUACCGGAUAGGACCAUGCUUUAGUGUGUGUGGUGGAAAGUUUUUUCGGUGUAGGAUGAGCCCGCGGCCUAUCAGCUUGUUGGUGGGGUAAUGGCCUACCAAGGCGGCGACGGGUAGCCGGACUGAGAGGUUGGUCGGCCACAUUGGGACUGAGAUACGGCCCAG